Pongo abelii (Sumatran orangutan) is the source of this 148-nucleotide unclassified non-coding RNA. It matches the Rfam family "Metazoan signal recognition particle RNA". From Rfam's summary of the family: The signal recognition particle (SRP) is a universally conserved ribonucleoprotein. It is involved in the co-translational targeting of proteins to membranes. The record is from Ensembl. Lineage: Eukaryota; Metazoa; Chordata; Mammalia; Primates; Hominidae.
GCUGGGCAUGGUGGUGAAUGCCUUUAGUCCUAGCUACUCAGGAGGCCAAGGCAGGAGAAUCGCUUGAACCCGGGAGGCUGAGGUUGCAGUGAGCCAAGACAGUGCCACUGCACUCCAGCCUGGGUGACAGAGUGAGAUCCUGUCUUAA